Helianthus annuus (common sunflower) is the source of this 650-nucleotide long non-coding RNA. RefSeq lists it as uncharacterized. The record is from RefSeq and is a predicted model, not a curated record. The transcript has 2 exons. NCBI's taxonomy places the organism in Eukaryota, Viridiplantae, Streptophyta, Magnoliopsida, Asterales, Asteraceae.
GAACACACACUUACUUACACUCUGUAUCUUUGUUCUUUUCUAUAUAAAUAACGACAAUGGGUGGUUGUUUCAUUUUGUUUAUAUAAAAGUUGUGGAGAUUAGUCGGUUUCCUUCGCAGUCGCUUACUUAGGAUUCUUAGCCGUUGCCUUCUUAUCAAUUUUUUGAGAAUGUUAAGAAUUUUUUGAAAGCGGUUGAAGGGUUAAGGCUUCCGGUUUUUAAAGCUUCGGUUUUCGAAAGGGAUAAUAUGGUGGCGGGUUCGUCUGCUAAGAUUGUCAAUUGCGUGUUGGGGCUAAAAGAGUACUAUGAUAGUAAACAGAAGAAAAAGGGGAAUGGAUCUUUUAAGCAUGAUUUCGGAUCUCCUUUGAUGAUGCGUUCAAAUGGUAGGAACUUUAACAAGCAAUUGGAUUUGUCUGCCAAUUUUGAAAAGCAACCACCAUCUCAAAACGAUGCUCAGAAGAAGCUUGAAGAUUUACAGAUUUUCACUUUAUUUUAACUAUAUAUAAAAAUAUGAUUUUGGUGGUUACAUGCAUAAAUUAUUGUCUUUCAGUAGCUUCAUAAGAAGUUUUUGGUACAUUGUAGAUUUAAUUGUCAAGGCUUUAGAUGAAUGUAUGACUGAUGCAAAAUAGAAUUUAGAUGGUAACUUGUUGGCC